AUAAGAUUAAGUUAUAUGUUAGACUGAGUGUUUUCAAAACAUUUAGAGAUUGGUUGUCAUCUUAUG
RNAcentral lists this transfer RNA (66 nucleotides) under Hymenolepis diminuta. RNAcentral's name for it is "tRNA-Trp". Lineage: Eukaryota; Metazoa; Platyhelminthes; Cestoda; Cyclophyllidea; Hymenolepididae. The record is from RNAcentral.